AUUGGGCGUUAAGUUGCAGGGUAUAGACCCGAAACCCGGUGAUCUAGCCAUGGGCAGGUUGAAGGUUGGGUAACACUAACUGGAGGACCGAACCGACUAAUGUUGAAAAAUUAGCGGAUGACCUGUGGCUGGGGGUGAAAGGCCAAUCAAACCGGGAGAUAGCUGGUUCUCCCCGAAAGCUAUUUAGGUAGCGCCUCGUGAAUUCAUCUCCGGGGGUAGAGCACUGUUUCGGCUAGGGGGCCAUCCCGGCUUACCAACCCGAUGCAAACUGCGAAUACCGGAGAAUGUUAUCACGGGAGACACACGGCGGGUGCUAACGUCCGUCGUGAAGAGGGAAACAACCCAGACCGCCAGCUAAGGUCCCAAAGUCAUGGUUAAGUGGGAAACGAUGUGGGAAGGCCCAGACAGCCAGGAUGUUGGCUUAGAAGCAGCCAUCAUUUAAAGAAAGCGUAAUAGCUCACUGGUCGAGUCGGCCUGCGCGGAAGAUGUAACGGGGCUAAACCAUGCACCGAAGCUGCGGCAGCGAACGUAUCACCCAAGACAACUUUACGGAGUUGACGAUUGACGGAGCGAAGCGACGUCAAAGCGUUCAUUAAAGUCGAGUUGGCUUAGGGAUACGUUCGUUGGGUAGGGGAGCGUUCUGUAAGCCUGUGAAGGUGUGUCGUGAGGCAUGCUGGAGGUAUCAGAAGUGCGAAUGCUGACAUAAGUAACGAUAAAGCGGGUGAAAAGCCCGCUCGCCGGAAGACCAAGGGUUCCUGUCCAACGUUAAUCGGGGCAGGGUGAGUCGACCCCUAAGGCGAGGCCGAAAGGCGUAGUCGAUGGGAAACGGGUUAAUAUUCCCGUACUUGGUGUUACUGCGAAGGGGGGACGGAGAAGGCUAUGUUGGCCGGGCGACGGUUGUCCCGGUUUAAGCGUGUAGGUGUGUGUUCCAGGUAAAUCCGGUUCACUUUAACACUGAGGCGUGACGACGAGGCACUACGGUGCUGAAGCAACAAAUGCCCUGCUUCCAGGAAAAGCCUCUAAGCAUCAGGUAACAUCAAAUCGUACCCCAAACCGACACAGGUGGUCAGGUAGAGAAUACCAAGGCGCUUGAGAGAACUCGGGUGAAGGAACUAGGCAAAAUGGUGCCGUAACUUCGGGAGAAGGCACGCUGACACGUAGGUGAAGUGAUUUACUCAUGGAGCUGAAGUCAGUCGAAGAUACCAGCUGGCUGCAACUGUUUAUUAAAAACACAGCACUGUGCAAACACGAAAGUGGACGUAUACGGUGUGACGCCUGCCCGGUGCCGGAAGGUUAAUUGAUGGGGUCAGCGCAAGCGAAGCUCCUGAUCGAAGCCCCGGUAAACGGCGGCCGUAACUAUAACGGUCCUAAGGUAGCGAAAUUCCUUGUCGGGUAAGUUCCGACCUGCACGAAUGGCGUAAUGAUGGCCAGGCUGUCUCCACCCGAGACUCAGUGAAAUUGAACUCGCUGUGAAGAUGCAGUGUACCCGCGGCAAGACGGAAAGACCCCGUGAACCUUUACUAUAGCUUGACACUGAACAUUGAGCCUUGAUGUGUAGGAUAGGUGGGAGGCUUUGAAGUGUGGACGCCAGUCUGCAUGGAGCCGACCUUGAAAUACCACCCUUUAAUGUUUGAUGUUCUAACGUGGACCCGUAAUCCGGGUUGCGGACAGUGUCUGGUGGGUAGUUUGACUGGGGCGGUCUCCUCCUAAAGAGUAACGGAGGAGCACGAAGGUUGGCUAAUCCUGGUCGGACAUCAGGAGGUUAGUGCAAUGGCAUAAGCCAGCUUGACUGCGAGCGUGACGGCGCGAGCAGGUGCGAAAGCAGGUCAUAGUGAUCCGGUGGUUCUGAAUGGAAGGGCCAUCGCUCAACGGAUAAAAGGUACUCCGGGGAUAACAGGCUGAUACCGCCCAAGAGUUCAUAUCGACGGCGGUGUUUGGCACCUCGAUGUCGGCUCAUCACAUCCUGGGGCUGAAGUAGGUCCCAAGGGUAUGGCUGUUCGCCAUUUAAAGUGGUACGCGAGCUGGGUUUAGAACGUCGUGAGACAGUUCGGUCCCUAUCUGCCGU
This 2065-nucleotide ribosomal RNA is filed under the name Salmonella enterica subsp. enterica serovar Typhimurium. RNAcentral describes it as "partial 23S ribosomal RNA". It matches the Rfam family "Bacterial large subunit ribosomal RNA", at positions 687 to 2648 of the family's 2925-position model. The record is from RNAcentral. Lineage: Bacteria; Pseudomonadati; Pseudomonadota; Gammaproteobacteria; Enterobacterales; Enterobacteriaceae.